GACGAACGCUGGCGGCGUGCUUAACACAUGCAAGUCGAACGGAAAGGCCCCUUUGGGGGUACUCGAGUGGCGAACGGGUGAGUAACACGUGAGUAACCUGCCCUUGACUUCGGGAUAACUUCAGGAAACUGGGGCUAAUACCGGAUAGGAAUCCUUGCUGCAUGGUGGGGGUUGGAAAGCUUCGGCGGUUUUGGAUGGACUCGCGGCUUAUCAGCUUGUUGGUGGGGUAGUGGCUUACCAAGGCUUUGACGGGUAGCCGGCCUGAGAGGGCGACCGGGCACAUUGGGACUGAGAGACGGCCCAGACGCCUACGGGAGGCAGCAGUGGGGAAUAUUGCACAAGGGGCGGAAGCCUGAUGCAGCAACGCCGCGGGCGGGAUGACGGCCUUCGGGUUGUAAACCGCUUUCAGCAGGGGCGAAGCUUGUGGUGACGGUACCUGCAGAAGAAGCACCGGCUAACUACGUG
This 465-nucleotide ribosomal RNA is filed under the name uncultured bacterium. Its description in RNAcentral is "partial 16S ribosomal RNA". It matches the Rfam family "Bacterial small subunit ribosomal RNA", at positions 28 to 507 of the family's 1533-position model. The record is from RNAcentral.